GAUGAACGCUGGCGGCGUGCCUAAUACAUGCCAGUCGAGCGAACAGAUGAGGAGCUUGCUCCUCUGACGUUAGCGGCGGACGGGUGAGUAACACGUGGAUAACCUACCUAUAAGACUGGGAUAACUUCGGGAAACCGGAGCUAAUACCGGAUAAUAUAUUGAACCGCAUGGUUCAAUAGUGAAAGACGGUUUUGCUGUCACUUAUAGAUGGAUCCGCGCCGCAUUAGCUAGUUGGUAAGGUAACGGCUUACCAAGGCAACGAUGCGUAGCCGACCUGACAGGGUGAUCGGCCACACUGGAACUGAGACACGGUCCAGACUCCUACGGGAGGCAGCAGUAGGGAAUCUUCCGCAAUGGGCGAAAGCCUGACGGAGCAACGCCGCGUGAGUGAUGAAGGUCUUCGGAUCGUAAAACUCUGUUAUUAGGGAAGAACAAAUGUGUAAGUAACUAUGCACGUCUUGACGGUACCUAAUCAGAAAGCCACGGCUAACUACGUG
This 497-nucleotide ribosomal RNA is filed under the name uncultured bacterium. RNAcentral's name for it is "partial 16S ribosomal RNA". It matches the Rfam family "Bacterial small subunit ribosomal RNA", at positions 28 to 507 of the family's 1533-position model. The record is from RNAcentral.